Molecule: transfer RNA, 68 nt
Filed under: Marmota monax (woodchuck)
Lineage: Eukaryota; Metazoa; Chordata; Mammalia; Rodentia; Sciuridae
Description: tRNA.Ala
Source: RNAcentral
GGAUUGUGGCUUAGCGGUAGGGCACUCAUCUAGCACAUACAAGGCCCUGGGUUCGAUCCUCAGCACCA